AUGUGGUGGUUGUACCGCAAGGGGCCCUCGGGCUUCGCCGGCGCCUCCACGGCCGAGGAGGUCACCGCCGGCAUCGACGGCCGCGGCUUGGUCGCCGUCAUCACAGGUGCGUCGAGAGGAAUCGGGCGGGAGACGGCGCGCGUGCUGGCGCUGCGGGGCGUGCGCGUCGUCAUGGCCGUCCGCGACGUCUCCGCGGGGGUCAGGGCCAAGGAGGCCAUCCAGGCCGAGAUCCGCGGCGGCGCGGAGCUGGACGUGCUGGAGCUGGACCUUAGCUCCAUGGCUUCCGUCAGGAGAUUCGCCGCAGAGUUCGCCUCCCUCAGCCUGCCCCUCAACAUCCUUAUCAACAACGCUGGAGUCAUGGCGAGGGACUGCACCCGUUCCCCCGACGGCCUAGAGCUGCACUUCGCCACGAACCACAUCGGGCAUUUCCUUCUGACAAACCUGCUGCUGGAGAACAUGAAGAGCGCGUGCCGGGACAGCGGCGUGGAAGGAAGGAUCGUUAACGUGUCAUCUUCCGGGCAUAUCAUGACCUACCCCGAAGGGAUAUGCUUCGACAAAGUGCAUGAUCCUUCAGGGUUCAACAGCCUCAUUGCUUAUGGCCAGUCCAAGCUUGCAAACAUUCUCCACAUGAAUGAGCUGUCCCGGAUUCUCAAGGAUGAAGGGGUCAACAUUUCAGCUAACACGGUCCAUCCGGGCGUCAUCGUGACAAGCCUUUUCAGAAACAGGACCAUUGUGAGCGCUCCCAUGAACACCGUUGGAAGAAUCAUAAGCAGAAGCGUCCAACAGGGUGCUGCAACGACAUGUUAUGUGGCGAUGCACCCUCAAGUCCAGGGGAUAACUGGUAAAUACUUCGGCAAUUGUAAUAUAGCCAACACAAGCUCGCAAGCUGUAGAUGCAGAAUUGGCCAAGAAGUUGUCGAACUUCAGCUUGCAGAUAGUGUCUUCUUGA
This 948-nucleotide ribosomal RNA is filed under the name Triticum aestivum (bread wheat). RNAcentral's name for it is "partial small subunit ribosomal RNA". The record is from RNAcentral. Lineage: Eukaryota; Viridiplantae; Streptophyta; Magnoliopsida; Poales; Poaceae.